Molecule: long non-coding RNA, 700 nt
Filed under: Gopherus agassizii (Agassiz's desert tortoise)
Lineage: Eukaryota; Metazoa; Chordata; Testudines; Testudinidae
Description: lncRNA (ENSGAGG00000024752.1)
Source: RNAcentral
AAUAAUUUGAACAACUUCAAUAUAGAAAUAUUUCAAUAACCAAUUCAGUCUUGUCUACCAAAACAACAAUUAAGAAGCACAAGUACCAGCAAACUGGGGGGCACAUAUGAACACUGACAGGCUUGUUAGGCAACUUCCCUUUCCAUUCUUGGGUUGAGGCUCAUUCCUUGGAGACCUUUGUGACUCCAUGAUAAAUGUGGAAACAGGCUUUAAUUAUCCUUAACAGUAUUUUAUUCACACAGAAACAAGGAAGAAUGACACAUCUUCACAACAAUUGCUGCUUGUUGAGUCAUCUGGUGGUAGGGAGCUCUAUGGCACUGUAACUACUUCUGACACAGGACACCAUCUUUCCACCUCUUCCACCACCACCCCACCCCCGCUGUGUAGAAAUAAAAGAAAGAUGCCACUGGAACCAGAAGACCAUAGUCUAUAUCACUUCCCUGGGACAGUAAUGGGUAGACUGCUCUGCUGCCUGUCACGGAACUUAGUCCAUGAAAGUUCUGUCUUUGAAAAGCUACAUAAGAUACCUGCAGGUUGUUCCACAGGAGGGUUGUACUGCUCCAAAGUGAUCCUGUGGAGCUGUGGAGGAUUUUACCUCAGAUGCCUCUGCUUCAGUUUCCCGAUCUGUGAAAUGAGGAUAGGAAUACUGACCUACCUGACAAGGUAAAAUAAUAAAUGUUGUUAACUUCUAUUGCGAUCA